RNAcentral lists this ribosomal RNA (443 nucleotides) under uncultured bacterium. RNAcentral's name for it is "partial 16S ribosomal RNA". It matches the Rfam family "Bacterial small subunit ribosomal RNA", at positions 338 to 795 of the family's 1533-position model. The record is from RNAcentral.
CCUACGGGAGGCUGCAGUGGGGAAUAUUGGGCAAUGGGCGCAAGCCUGACCCAGCAACGCCGCGUGAAGGAAGAAGGCUUUCGGGUUGUAAACUUCUUUUCUCAGGGACGAAGCAAGUGACGGUACCUGAGGAAUAAGCCACGGCUAACUACGUGCCAGCAGCCGCGGUAAGACGUAGGUGGCAAGCGUUAUCCGGAUUUACUGGGUGUAAAGGGCGUGUAGGCGGGACUGCAAGUCAGAUGUGAAAACCACGGGCGCAACCUGUGGCCUGCAUUUGAAACUGUAGUUCUUGAGUACUGGAGAGGCAGACGGAAUUCCUAGUGUAGCGGUGAAAUGCGUAGAUAUUAGGAGGAACACCAGUGGCGAAGGCGGUCUGCUGGACAGCAACUGACGCUGAGGCGCGAAAGCGUGGGGAGCAAACAGGAUUAGAUACCCUUGUAGUC